This 371-nucleotide ribosomal RNA is filed under the name uncultured bacterium. Its description in RNAcentral is "bacterial SSU rRNA". It matches the Rfam family "Bacterial small subunit ribosomal RNA", at positions 525 to 896 of the family's 1533-position model. The record is from RNAcentral.
ACGUAGGGUGCGAGCGUUAAUCGGAAUUACUGGGCGUAAAGCGUGCGCAGGCGGUUGGUUAAGUCAGACGUGAAAGCCCCGGGCUUAACCUGGGAAUGGCGUUUGAAACUGGCGAGCUGGAGUACGGCAGAGGGGGGUGGAAUUCCACGUGUAGCAGUGAAAUGCGUAGAUAUGUGGAGGAACACCGAUGGCGAAGGCAGCCCCCUGGGCCGAUACUGACGCUCAUGCACGAAAGCGUGGGGAGCAAACAGGAUUAGAUACCCUGGUAGUCCACGCCCUAAACGAUGCGAACUAGUUGUCGGGGAAGCAAUUUCUUGGUAACGCAGCUAACGCGUGAAGUUCGCCGCCUGGGGAGUACGGUCGCAAGAUUA